AACGAACGCUGGCGGCGUGCCUAACACAUGCAAGUCGGACGGGUCCCGAUGAAGUAGCAAUACUUCAUCGGGAUUAGUGGCGGACGGGUGAGUAACACGUAGGCAACUUACCCUUGAGAGCGGGACAACCCCGAGAAAUCGGGGCUAAUACCGCAUAAGACCACAGGCUGAGAAGUCAGUGGUAAAAGGAGCAAUCUGCUCAAGGAUGGGCCUGCGGCCUAUCAGGUAGUUGGUAGGGUAAAGGCCUACCAAGCCAAAGACGGGUAGCCGGGCUGAGAGGUCGGACGGCCACACUGGAACUGAGACACGGUCCAGACUCCUACGGGAGGCUG
RNAcentral lists this ribosomal RNA (332 nucleotides) under uncultured Nitrospirota bacterium. Its description in RNAcentral is "bacterial SSU rRNA". It matches the Rfam family "Bacterial small subunit ribosomal RNA", at positions 29 to 351 of the family's 1533-position model. The record is from RNAcentral. Lineage: Bacteria; Pseudomonadati; Nitrospirota.